Molecule: non-coding RNA, 124 nt
Organism: Hordeum vulgare subsp. vulgare (domesticated barley)
Lineage: Eukaryota; Viridiplantae; Streptophyta; Magnoliopsida; Poales; Poaceae
Source: Rfam
UAUAUACUCCCUCAGUCCGGAAAUAGUUGUCCUGAAAAUACAUGUAUCUAAAUUUAUUUUAGUUAUAGAUACAUCCAUUUUAUUCAUUUUUAAGACAAGUAUUUCCGGACCGAGUGGGUACUAA